GGUUGACCACCAUAAGGAGGAAACUGGGUCUCUUGAGAUUUAGGCAACAACACGUUUUUAUUAACAUUCAACAACGGCGUAUCAAUCACAACUUCUGUGGGCAUCAACGUAUCCCACUCAGGCACCUCUCUAUAUGUCCAUUCUGAUUAACUUGGUAACUUUGCUUCAAUACGGGGGGGAGCUGGCCGAACUGCUCCUUGUCGGUAGGCUUCCGUAACGGGGCGCUCCUUACCGCGCAGAUUAUCCCACAACAGGGGUGGUGAGCCCAGUGCCCCCUCUCUUGUAUCACUACUACUUCCGGAUCAGGAACGGGAUCAGGCAGUAGUCCUCCCACCUUCAGGCUUGGGAAAUCAUCAAUCAAGCUCCUUACUCCACCUGCCUUAGCUUCCUCUUUCUCCUUCUCUCUCUUGCCCGUUACCGCCCUAAAUUCCUGCGAAUAUUCCCCCUCUUUUAUAUUCUCCUCCCACACAUCCACCCAUUGCUUCAGUCUUAACCCCUUUCCCCUCUUUAUAUUCUUUUUCUCUUCCCUCAGCCCCUUUGACAUUUAUGUUAGCUGGAGGAGACGCCGCGCUAGCUGUUGGACCUUCCUUACAACCCCAUUCAUUUCUUCGGUGUUCCAGGGCUGGGACUCCCAGUUAAAUUUAGCUCUAAAUUUCAGAGGAAAUCCCAAUGGAUAUUCCUUAGGGAACCUGCCAGUGAAAACUGCAAGGUCGUUGCAGUUAAGAAAAUGAAGUUGAGAUUUUUUUUAAAAAGGAAUAAUUGAAUUGAACAAUGGUGGAAGAAGUGACACUAUUUGCAAAUGGAGAGAUGGAAUGGGUCCUUAGAAUCAAGAGUUGGAAGUAACUAGCUAUAAGCAAGAUCUGUAACUAAAUACUGUUCUGGGUAAACACAGUAUAUAAUGUUACUUUUCAAAAGUAUUGUAGAAUGGAAGUUGUACAUUGUUGUAAUGGGUGCCCCAUUACAAAAGUUAUAUCAAAAGUUAUAUCUGACAGCACUUUGAGAUACUUUGAAAUAGUUGUUUUGUAAAAAGAACCUAUUUCUUACCUUAUCAAUAAGGAUUCUUUUCCUCCCCAAACUUACAGAAAAUUAGAAAAAACAAUGAGCAGUGCACCAGAUAAUGUAACAAAACCUCUUUCAACUGUUGUAAUGUAGAACAAUUUUUCGACCGCUGAUAGAACAAUUUUUCGACCGCUUACUUAUG
This 1201-nucleotide long non-coding RNA is filed under the name Pogona vitticeps (central bearded dragon). Its description in RNAcentral is "lncRNA (ENSPVIG00000004966.1)". The record is from RNAcentral. Lineage: Eukaryota; Metazoa; Chordata; Lepidosauria; Squamata; Agamidae.